AUUGGGCGUAAAGAUUUCGUAGGUGGCAUGUCAAGUCUGGUGUUAAAGCUCGGGGCUCAACUCCGAAUCGGCACUGGAUACUGACAAGCUAGAGUGCAGUAGAGGCAAGGGGAAUUCCCAGUGUAGCGGUGAAAUGCGUAGAUAUUGGGAGGAACACCAGUGGCGUAAGCGCCUUGCUGGGCUGUAACUGACGCUGAGGAACGAAAGCCGGGGGAGCAAAUGGGAUUAGAUACCCCAGUAGUCCCGGCCGUAAACGAUGGAUACUAGGUGUUGCGAGUAUCGACCCUUGCAGUGCCGUAGUUAACGCGAUAAGUAUCCCGCCUGGGGAGUACGCACGCAAGUGUGAAACUCAAAGGAAUUGACGGGGGCCCGCACAAGCGGUGGAACAUGUGGUUUAAUUCGAAGCAACGCGAAGAACCUUACCAGGGCUUGACAUCCCAAGAACCUUGUGGAAACACGAGGGUGCCUUCGGGAACUUGGAGACAGGUGGUGCAUGGUUGUCGUCAGCUCGUGUCGUGAGAUGUUGGGUUAAGUCCCGCAACGAGCGCAACCCUCGUUGUUAGUUGCUGUAUGGAAGCACGCUUUUAUACAGCUCUCUAGCAAGACUGCCGGUGAUAAACCGGAGGAAGGUGGGGAUGACGUCAAAUCAUCAUGCCCCUUAUGCUCUGGGCUACACACGUGUUACAAUGGGUGAGACAACGAGCAGCCAACUGGCAACAGUGAGCAAAUCUCUUAAACUUAUCCUAAGUUCGGAUUGGAGUCUGCAACUCGACUCCAUGAAGUCGGAAUCGCUAGUAACCGUAGAUCAGCAUGCUGCGGUGAAUACGUUCCCGGGCCUUGUACACACCGCCCGUCACACCAUGGAAGUUGACCACGCCCGAAGUCAGUGUGCUAACCGCAAGGAGGCAGCUGCCUA
RNAcentral lists this ribosomal RNA (916 nucleotides) under uncultured organism. RNAcentral's name for it is "bacterial SSU rRNA". It matches the Rfam family "Bacterial small subunit ribosomal RNA", at positions 553 to 1459 of the family's 1533-position model. The record is from RNAcentral.